ACGGGAGGCAGCAGUGGGGAAUAUUGCACAAUGGGCGAAAGCCUGAUGCAGCGACGCCGCGUGAGUGAAGAAGUAUUUCGGUAUGUAAAGCUCUAUCAGCAGGGAAGAAAAAUGACGGUACCUGACUAAGAAGCUCCGGCUAAGUACGUGCCAGCAGCCGCGGUAAUACGUAUGGAGCAAGCGUUAUCCGGAUUUACUGGGUGUAAAGGGAGCGUAGACGGCAAAGCAAGUCUGAAGUGAAAUCCCGGGGCUCAACCCCGGAACUGCUUUGGAAACUGUUUAGCUAGAGUGCAGGAGAGGUAAGCGGAAUUCCUAGUGUAGCGGUGAAAUGCGUAGAUAUUAGGAGGAACACCAGUGGCGAAGGCGGCUUACUGGACCGUAACUGACGUUGAGGCUCGAAAGCGUGGGGAGCAAACAGGAUUAGAUACCCUGGUA
RNAcentral lists this ribosomal RNA (435 nucleotides) under uncultured Lachnospiraceae bacterium. Its description in RNAcentral is "partial 16S ribosomal RNA". It matches the Rfam family "Bacterial small subunit ribosomal RNA", at positions 341 to 792 of the family's 1533-position model. Lineage: Bacteria; Bacillati; Bacillota; Clostridia; Lachnospirales; Lachnospiraceae. The record is from RNAcentral.